RNAcentral lists this ribosomal RNA (435 nucleotides) under uncultured bacterium. RNAcentral's name for it is "partial 16S rRNA". The record is from RNAcentral.
GCACAGGGUUUGCCGAUACUUUCUCCUGAGGUACCGUCAAAAAUUUCGUCCCUCAGAACAGGUGUUUACGACCAGUAAAGGCCUUCAUCCACCACGCGGCGUCGCUCCGUCAGACUUUCGUCCAUUGCGGAAGAUUCCUCACUGCUGCCUCCCGUAGGAGUAUGGACCGUGUCGCAGUUCCAUUCUGGCUGAUCAUCCUCUCAGAUCAGCUACCCGUCAUUGCCUUGGUGAGCCGUUACCUCACCAACGAGCUGAUAGGCCGCAGGCCCCUCCCGAACCGAUAAAUCUUUCCUCUUCCGAGGGCAUCCGGUAUUACUCCUCCUUUCGGAGGGAUAUCCCUGAGUUCGGGGCAGGUUCCAACGUGUUACGCAGCCGUUUGCCGUGGGUCUAAACCCACUCGACUUGCAUGUGUUAGGCGCGCCGCUAGCGUUCACU